UACCAGCACCCCGAGUGGUCGGGGCGAUUAUUGGGCCUAAAGCAUCCGUAGCCGGUUCUACGAGUCUUCCGUUAAAUCCAACUGCUUAACAGGUGGGCUGCGGAAGAUACUAUAGAGCUAGGAGGCGGGAGAGGCAAGCGGUACUCGAUGGGUAGGGGUAAAAUCCGUUGAUCCAUUGAAGACCACCAGUGGCGAAGGCGGCUUGCCAGAACGCGCUCGACGGUGAGGGAUGAAAGCUGGGGGAGCAAACCGG
This 253-nucleotide ribosomal RNA is filed under the name uncultured bacterium. Its description in RNAcentral is "partial 16S ribosomal RNA". It matches the Rfam family "Archaeal small subunit ribosomal RNA", at positions 474 to 727 of the family's 1478-position model. The record is from RNAcentral.